CCUACGGGCGGCAGCAGUGAGGAAUAUUGGUCAAUGGGCGCGAGCCUGAACCAGCCAAGUAGCGUGAAGGAUGACUGCCCUACGGGUUGUAAACUUCUUUUAUAAAGGAAUAAAGUGAGGCACGUGUGCCUUUUUGUGUGUACUUUAUGAAAAAGGAUCGGCUAACUCCGUGCCAGCAGCCGCGGUAAUACGGAGGAUCCGAGCGUUAUCCGGAUUUAUUGGGUUUAAAGGGAGCGUAGAUGGGUUGUUAAGUCAGUUGUGAAAGUUUGGGGCUCAACCCCAGAAGUGCAGUUGAUACUGGCAGUCUUGAGUGCAGUUGAGGUAGGCGGAAUGCGUGGUGUAGCGGUGAAAUGCUUAGAUAGCACGAAGAACUCCGAUUGCGAAGGCAGCUUACUAAACUGCCACUGACAUUGAUGCUCGAAAGUGUGGGUAUCAAACAGGAUUAGAUACCCGUGUAGUC
This 460-nucleotide ribosomal RNA is filed under the name uncultured bacterium. RNAcentral's name for it is "partial 16S ribosomal RNA". It matches the Rfam family "Bacterial small subunit ribosomal RNA", at positions 338 to 795 of the family's 1533-position model. The record is from RNAcentral.